GGGAAAUGCACAAAGGGGCCAGCCUCAGGCCCUGAGACAAUGUUAUGGGGUA
Regulatory RNA element from Neotoma lepida (desert woodrat), 52 nucleotides. Lineage: Eukaryota; Metazoa; Chordata; Mammalia; Rodentia; Cricetidae. The record is from Rfam.